GAAGCCCAUGGGAGUAGGCUCAUCCCAGGAAAUCAGGUAGAGAGGAGCAUGGUGGCUGGACCCUUGGCCCUGCUCUCCCAGGCACCACACCAUCCCCCACCUGGGGAACAGGGAGCACUUAGGUUUGGAAUCCUGGGGAAGAGAAGUUCUAUUUCCGUUGGGCUGUUGAGGCCUGUGACCGGUGGUGGCCAUCUUCUUUCAUCAACGGAAAAACCACUUGAGAAGGACACCAGUACAGAGGGGAGGAAGCCAAGCCAAGAGGCUGGGAGAGCCGAUUCCUGCUGACGGCAUCAAGCACCCAGAAUCAUGCUCACGGGACCACAACGGCCAGUGUCUGGAGCUGCUGCAGGGGAGGCCAGGAGCCUUCACCCGCCCCCGUCCUUGGGGACACCUCCUUCCUUUGGGCCUUGGGGGUCCUAUUCCCUACUUGCACACCAGAGAUCUUUUCCAGAAUACGCAGAGAACCUCGCUCACUUUGGAACAGGAUGCGUCCAUCACCGCCCUUUCCACAUCUCCCUGAAACGCAGCUCGGGUCCUCCUUUCUUUGCAUCAUGGCCUCCGGGGCUGUCGCGGGAGAGACCAGGCAGACGGUCCAUCAACAGCUCCGCACUUGGGGCCCCUGUGAGGCAAGAGCUGCCCACUGGGAAGCGCUGUUCACAAGGGACCUCACACUCCAGCUGAAGGGGCUGUGGAGGCCCCGAGGGCCGGAAGCAGUGCUCAGGCCAAAGUGAUCCCAAAGGCUUCUUGCUGGCUGGGGCCUUCUGGCCAUGCUGGAGGGUGGGGGGGCGAGGUCCCUGCAGUGUCUGAGGACCCACUGUGUGCAGGCUCAGGGUGCACAGAGAAGCAAGGGCAGAAGCCGGCCCCAGAGGUGUUCACAAGCCAAAUAUGGACAAGCCAGCCAGGCAGACAGAGAACCAGAGCUCACGGGCUGUUUUCAUGGGUGAAGGGUGGGGGUCGGGGCAGAGACCCAUGCCUGCUGGGGAACUAGUUAAGGAUAGGGAAUUUUUCACUGAGACUCGAAGGCUGUACCAGUUAGAUAUGUUUGGCUGAAGUAACAGAAAACUUUACUAAGAGUGGCUUAAACUACAAAGGCAUCUAAUGUUUAAUGUUUAAAGAUGAUGUGAGAGAUGGGAAGUCCAGAGGUGGUCUGGUGGCCCAAUAACGUCAUCGGUGACUCAGAUGCCACCCACCUCUCUACUCCACCAUUAACAGAAUGUUAGUGUCACUCCCUCGUGAUUGCAGUGUGGUUGCCUCCACUCCAGCCAUCACAUCUGCAUAGUUAGUGCUCAAGCCAGAAGCAAGAGGGCACCUUCCUCAUUGCCCAUCUCUUUCUUUUCAGGAAGGAAAAUCUCUCACAGAAGCCCCCAUAGACUUCCUCUAAGAUCUCAUUGGCCAGAACAAGUCCCUGUCCCAACCAAUCACCAGAGGUGGGGGAGGGGAAGGGGAGCAGUUGCCAUGACUGGCUUGGACCAGUCAUGAUUCCUCCAAAAUGAGCAUCCCCAGGAGGAAGGCAGGGUGAGGUGGGCAAAGGCUGCUGUGUGAGCAACCAACUCGAUGCUGCCACAAAGGAGAAAUGGACGAGGGAGCUGCGGUUUCCAAGACAAGGGAACAGAAGAGCAGGAGGAACAGCAUACCACGCAGAGGCUGUCAGCUGUACGAGAAUGGCGACCUCUGUGUGCUUCACUCUGCUGUGCCCGGUGUCUGGAGCUGGCCCACAGGCAGUAGGGCCUCAGUGGUGUGCGCUGGGCAAGUGAACACCGCCGACCACAAGCAAGCACAUUUCUGGGAGUUCUCAGUGUUACUGGCUCACUCGCUGUUUAUGGAGCCCCGCUCUGUGCCCUGCCCCGACUUAGGCCGCAGGCACGACGUCAGUGAAGGAGACGAGAAAAUAAACUCUGCUGCCCCCAUGGAGCUGACAUCGCAGAGGGAAACAAAGAGUGAGGAGAGCACAGCAGGCUAUGGCGGGACUCCCUGAAGAAAUGGCAUCUCAGCAACAGCCAAGUUCAGUGGGUGAAGGAGGAGAAGAGGAGCAUUCCAGGCUGAGGGAUGAGCAAAGGCCCUGAGGCAAGAAGGACAUGACCAUUCGAGAAACUGAAAGAAAGCAGGAUUUUCUGGGGGUGCAAAGGUGCGGUGGAAGAGCACUGGCAAGGAAACACGCCUGUACGGUUCCCUGCUCUGGCAUGGCACUAAGCCAAGUCAAUGUGCUAUAUAGUAUUGUGCAUUUUUAUGAUGCUUCCAGAUAUAACUCCCUUGGGAAAAGGGUCCAUGAUUUAUUGAUCUUCCUCUCCUCUCACUCUGCCAGAGCAAUAUCCCACUGCACCUAACUGCCCAAUAUCUGGGGUGAAUGAAGGCGUUCAGCUAAGGGUGCUGAAAGAACAGCUCCUUGGCAUCUCCUGAACUUUGGACCACGACUACAACGUUUCUUCCUUAAUAAUUAAUUCACUUAUAACACAGUUGUUUGAAAUGGGAGGCCCCUCUCCUUUACCUAUCACCCUCUAUUUUCAUAUUGAGCUGUUUGUUUCCUCAUGGCAUUUAUCACCACCUGUCGUUAUAUUUACGGAGUUAAUUGUUCCAGUAUCUGCCUUUUCCAGUACAAUGAGGGCGGGGACUUCACCUUGUCCAGGACUGUAUCCUCAGUGCCCAGGACUGUGUGUUGAAUGAAUGGCUGAUCAGAUGCUGAAAUAUUUAAUACUGAAGAACCCUUCAGCAAGUACAACCUAGAAGUUAGUGUAUUGAUUAUGUUGGUUCAGUAAGAACCUGGGAACAGCUUUCUUGUAC
This 2778-nucleotide long non-coding RNA is filed under the name Equus caballus (horse). RNAcentral's name for it is "lncRNA (ENSECAG00000045884.1)". Lineage: Eukaryota; Metazoa; Chordata; Mammalia; Perissodactyla; Equidae. The record is from RNAcentral.